This 254-nucleotide ribosomal RNA is filed under the name uncultured bacterium. RNAcentral's name for it is "partial 16S ribosomal RNA". It matches the Rfam family "Bacterial small subunit ribosomal RNA", at positions 524 to 776 of the family's 1533-position model. The record is from RNAcentral.
UACGUAGGGUGCAAGCGUUAAUCGGAAUUACUGGGCGUAAAGCGUGCGCAGGCGGUGAUGUAAGACAGAUGUGAAAUCCCCGGGCUCAACCUGGGAACUGCAUUGGUGACUGGCAGGCUUUGAGUGUGGCAGAGGGAGGUAGAAUUCCACGUGUAGCAGUGAAAUGCGUAGAGAUGUGGAGGAACACCAGUGGCGAAGGCGGCUACCUGGACCGGAACUGACGCUGAUGCGCGAAAGCGUGGGGAGCAAACAGG